RNAcentral lists this ribosomal RNA (500 nucleotides) under uncultured bacterium. RNAcentral's name for it is "partial 16S ribosomal RNA". It matches the Rfam family "Bacterial small subunit ribosomal RNA", at positions 30 to 523 of the family's 1533-position model. The record is from RNAcentral.
AUUGAACGCUGGCGGCAUGCUUUACACAUGCAAGUCGAACGGUAACAGGAAGCUUGCUCCGCUGACGAGUGGCGAACGGGUGAGUAAUAUAUCGGAACGUGCCCUAGAGUGGGGGAUAACGUAGAGAAAGUUACGCUAAUACCGCAUACGAUCCAAGGAUGAAAGCAGGGGACCCUCGGGCCUUGUGCUCCUGGAGUGGUCUAUAUCUGAUUAGCUAGUUGGUGAGGUAAAGGCUCACCAAGGCGACGAUCAGUAGCUGGUCUGAGAGGCCGACCAGCCACACUGGAACUGAGACACGGUCCAGACUCCUACGGGAGGCAGCAGUGGGGAAUUUUGGACAAUGGGGGCAACCCUGAUCCAGCAAUGCCGCGUAAGUGAAGAAGGCCUUCGGGUUGUAAAGCUCUUUUGUCAGGGAAGAAAAGGGUACGGCUAAUAUCCGUGCCUCAUGACGGUACCUGAAGAAUAAGCACCGGCUAACUACGUGCCAGCCGCCGCGGUAA